This is a non-coding RNA of Benincasa hispida (wax gourd), 1802 nucleotides long. The record is from RefSeq and is a predicted model, not a curated record. NCBI's taxonomy places the organism in Eukaryota, Viridiplantae, Streptophyta, Magnoliopsida, Cucurbitales, Cucurbitaceae.
AUGGAAAGAAUAAAAUAAAUCUCUCCCCCACCUCCCUCUGCAAUCCUCGCCGAACGCCCCCAUCUCUCGUGUCUCUCCUCUCUGAACCCUCACCCUCGUGUCGUUUGUCUCUCCCAACCGCAUCGCUCGUUCCGCUUGCAUCGCUCCUCCCACUGGACGUAGUCGCCAACAUCACUUCAUGCCUCUCCAACUGCAGACCCGUGCGACUGGAAACCCACACCUCGUCGUCUCUCCCUUCGCACCGCCUUUAGCCGUGGUGCUUCUAUCACAAACGCCACGUGUCGCACCUCUGAAAGGUUCCAGGCACGUCGAUUUGUGCGUCCGUGCCGUCAGCUUCUUCCGCCAGUUAGCCACUACUUUCCAGUGCCCAGUCACUUCCUUCCCCGUUGCCAUUUACCGGAUCUCGCAUUGUAGUGGAGUUUUGGGUAAACUUUGGGUUUUUUGGAUUUGGGUUUGGGAAACUGUUGAAGCGACUGUGCAGGGUUCGAGCUUGUUUUCGACAAGUGUUUUGGAAUUUAUUAAAGGAUUUUAUUCAAGAUAAAAUAAAGUUUGGACUGCUGAACAUCUGGACCUAAUUUUGAGGUAAGUAAUCUUACUACUGGAAAAUGUUCACGGGCCAAACACUAGGUGUAUGCUAGUAAGAUACGUUGAUAGUAUGACUGAUUAGUAACAUGAUUGGUUGAUAGUAUGAUUGAUGUACGUCUUCUUCGAUAUGAGGACCGGAGGGAUUAAAUGUGCAUAUAUAUUUGAUUUCUAGCAUGAGAUAAACAUGUGUUAUUCUAUGAGAUUAUGUUUGAGCGCUAGCAUGAAAUUAGUAUGUGUAUUCUAUGAGAUUAUGUUUGAACGCUAGCAUGAGAUGAAUAUGUGUUAUUCUAUGAGAUUAUGUUUGAACACUAGCAUGAGAUGAGUAUGUGUUAUCCUAUGAGAUUAUGUUUGAAAGCUAGCAUGGGAUGAGUAUGUGUAUUCUAUAAGAUUAUGUUUAAAUGCUAGCGUGAGAUGAGUAUAGGUUAUCCUAUGAGAUUAUAUUUGAUCUAAGAAUUUGAGGUAUAUGUACAUGUAUGUUAUAGAGCCCUGCUAUGAUGUUGCAGUAGUAGUAGCAUCCUUACUAUUAGUUGUUACCCACUAGAGGUUGUAUUUCCUUCGGGAUUCACCAGAGGUGAUGCUAUCCUUUAGGAUUCACUAGAGAUUGUGUUUCCUUCGGGAUUCAUUAGAGGUAGUGUUAUCCUUCGGGGUUUACCAGAGGUUAUGUUUCCUUCGAGAUUCACUAGAGGUGGUGUUAUCCUUCAGGAUUCACCAGAGGUUGUGUUUCUUUCGGGAUUCACUAGAGGUGGUAUCUUCUUCGGGAUCACCAGAGGUUGUGGUUCCUACGGGACUUACUAAAGGUAGUGGAUAUACUUAACUACAAUAGGAUGAGAGGUUAGUUUUGCAUGUUGAUAUGUAUCCUAUGGGGACUAGAAAGGACAUUUAUGCCCCACCAGAGGAAGGCAUCUAGAGGACAUAGAUGCCUAGUCUGACACCAGUAGUAGGGUUACUUACUGAGUAUUUUUAUACUCAUCAUUUCUCAUGUUGUUGUUUCAGGUAAGGGUAGAGGUGCAUCGACGAUUGACAAGCAGAAUCCGUGAUCCAGUUACUGGGACCAAUUUAAAUGCUUCCGUUCAUAUUCUAAUAUUUCUUUUAUGUUUUAAAUUUUCAGUUUUGAGAUUUGAGACUAUUAUGAAGUUUUGUUUUCAGAUUUAUUUGUUUCCAUUUAUGAUUGAUGGGUACCCUAUCAUUAGAUAUUAAAUAUAUGAAUUUAAUGCAAA